UCUGGCAGUUCUGACAUAUUCCUCUCAGACCCUACACCCCUCCCACCACUGGAGACCACUGUUUUAUUUAUAUCGCUGUGUACUCAGCUGUUCAAAUGUUGUUAAGCUGUUUGCGAAUCCAGCUUGCUUGGCUGCAUAGUGAACAAGCAGAGGAAGAAGAGGGAUGGUCAUUAGCACUUUCAGAAGAUCAGCAGAAAAGCAGAUGAUGGACCAUCAAUGAACCAUAACAAGAGCUAACAUCUGUAAGAAGAGAAACCCCUUAGGCAAGAGGGCAGCCCACAGCUCAUGCCCAGGUAUAAUCCGGCUCACAGCAUCUUGGCUGCUAUGAUGAAUCAAACCUCCCAGCUUGCCUCGACCCAUUCCAAAGCACUCAGAGCGGAACGCUGUGACACUGCAUCGUCCGUGUGAGCCGAGCCACUCACCCGUUAAGAGGUUUGUUUUGGAAGGGCGGCAGUCAAUCUCGUGAGAACGUGGCUGAAGAGCUUCUCUGACGCUGGAAAAUAGAGAGAUGGACAGCAAACUCCCUCGCACGCGAAGCUAUCUCCCUACUGGCUGGUCCGCCAGAGAGACAAGCUAUCUCCCUACUGGCUGGUCCGCCGGAGAGACAAGCUAUCUCCCUACUGGCUGGUCUGCCGGAGAGACAAGCUAUCUGCGAAGAUGUAAGACUGUGAUGGUUCAUGUAGGUUGAUACUUUACCAGAGGCAUGAUGACCAUCUGGGACAUAAAAAAAUAAGACCUUUGUUGGCCCCGACUGUUAAUCACCUCUGCUGAUGAGUGUGAGCACAAGACAGGCAGUAAAUCACAGGGCUAAUGAGUCUUAAACUCAUGGGUUCGGGGGUGGAGAUAAGACAGAGAUUCCCUGCCGCUGGACGGUCAUUAUGCCACACAGAAAAGAAAAGGCAGUUGUGUUGUUUGUGCUUAAUCUCUUGGUCAUACACUAACCAGCAUCUUGCCUUGGGUGUUUCCUGAUGACUGUGAAUGACUUUAUACUGGAUUAUUCUUUACAGAUGGAUGGAUAUACUAUGGGCAUUACUUUAGUAUCAAAGUUUGGUCCCAGAGUUAACAGCACGAAGAUGCGAACCUGGAGGCCAGCCUCGGGUUUGGCAUGUGCUGCUUUAUGCAGCAGUGCAGGCUGCUCCUUCAGCCCCUGUGAUGUUAGCUGAGUGGAAACCAUUUCACCUGUACUGGUAAUGCUUUUACACCAAGGCAACACAUCUCCCCAAAGCAACAUACCAACUUUACUUGUUAUGGGUCCUCUAACAAGUUAAACACGUCGCUGAAGGGUUCAGCAGCUCACAGGACUCCACCGCUGUGUGAAGCGCUUGCUGAUUUCAUUUAUGUCCUUUUAGGUAUAUCCAUCCACAUUCUGUAACUACUUCUCCUAUUCAGGGUCACAGAGGAUCUGAAGCCUAUCCUGGAGACUACGGGCAUAAGACAGGGAACAACCCAGGAUGGGGCGUGAACCCAUCACAGGACACACUAACACACUAUUCCCUCACACAUGUACACCUAUGGGCAAUUUGGUAACGGCAAUUAACAUCUGCAUGUUUUUGGACUGUGGGGGUGGGUUGGAGUACCCAUGACAUUGGGAGCUCAUGCAAGCUCCACGCACAUUCAGCCAUGGUGGAGACUCGAAUCCUACCCCUAGUCAACAGUGCUAACCACUGCACCCCAUGCCCCCCCAUUAGGUAUAAUCCAAUUGAUUAUACCUAAUAUUUUACAAAAAUUUUUGAUUUAAUUCAACUGAAGUGUGUGUCAUGGUUUACUUUGUGGAUUUGAAAGGCAGCACAAAUCUUACUCAUCAGAGGUGGAUAGUUCAGGUCCAUAAAGCAAAAAUACAGUCCAAGAUUUAGCUUCAACCAACCGGUCGAGUAUAAUGAGUCAGGCUUUUAAAUCUGCACUCUGUUCAGUGAUGUGAAAUACUAUCCCUCUGUAUUUCAUUAUUGUGUUCUGUCUGUUAUUAUUUAUUCUGUUAUUACCUUAUUCAUUCAUGUGUAAUACCACUAGGAUUACAUAGACCCAAUGCAAUACUACCUGUAUGAAAGCAUCUUUUCGGAUGCUGAUACCUGGUACGUGUGCAAUUAUGUUAAGUGUAAUAAGAAUGUGUGUAAGUUCAAUAAAUUGAAUGAAUUUG
Long non-coding RNA from Brienomyrus brachyistius, 2134 nucleotides. RefSeq lists it as uncharacterized. Lineage: Eukaryota; Metazoa; Chordata; Actinopteri; Osteoglossiformes; Mormyridae. The record is from RefSeq and is a predicted model, not a curated record. The transcript has 2 exons.